GUGGGGCGCGCCUAGGGUUCCGCCGGCACACGGCCGGGUCUGGUCCGAGAGACGCAGGCGGCCGGCAUCGGAGCCCGGCCGUUCCACGGCGGGACAAAAGCCCGGGAGAC
RNAcentral lists this small RNA (110 nucleotides) under Mycobacterium sp. RNAcentral describes it as "Guanidine-I sequence". It matches the Rfam family "Guanidine-I riboswitch aptamer". From Rfam's summary of the family: This family represents a conserved RNA structure found upstream of the ykkC and yxkD genes in Bacillus subtilis and related genes in other bacteria. The function of this family is unclear although it has been suggested that it may function to switch on efflux pumps and detoxification systems in response to harmful environmental molecules. Nelson showed that this riboswitch senses and responds to guanidine and it was renamed Guanidine-I riboswitch. RNAcentral also lists the same sequence under 1 other name. Lineage: Bacteria; Bacillati; Actinomycetota; Actinomycetes; Mycobacteriales; Mycobacteriaceae. The record is from RNAcentral.